Molecule: ribosomal RNA, 169 nt
Filed under: uncultured bacterium
Lineage: Bacteria
Description: partial 16S ribosomal RNA
Rfam family: Bacterial small subunit ribosomal RNA
Source: RNAcentral
GCUGGAUUCGCUAGUAAUCGCGCAUCAGCCAUGGCGCGGUGAAUACGUUCCCGGGCCCUUGUACACACCGCCCGUCAAGCCAUGGGAGCCGGGGGUGCUUGAAGUGCGUCGCCGCAAGGCGCGCCCUAGAGCAAAACCGGUGACUGGGGCUAAGUCGUAACAAGGUACC